This 429-nucleotide ribosomal RNA is filed under the name Acidobacteriota bacterium. RNAcentral's name for it is "Acidobacteria bacterium partial 16S ribosomal RNA". It matches the Rfam family "Bacterial small subunit ribosomal RNA", at positions 355 to 776 of the family's 1533-position model. The record is from RNAcentral. Lineage: Bacteria; Pseudomonadati; Acidobacteriota.
UGGGGAAUUUUGGACAAUGGGCGCAAGCCUGAUCCAGCCAUGCCGCGUGCGGGAAGAAGGCCUUCGGGUUGUAAACCGCUUUUGUCAGGGAAGAAAAGGUUCUGGUUAAUACCUGGGACUCAUGACGGUACCUGAAGAAUAAGCACCGGCUAACUACGUGCCAGCAGCCGCGGCAAUACGUAGGGUGCAAGCGUUAAUCGGAAUUACUGGGCGUAAAGCGUGCGCAGGCGGUUAUGCAAGACAGAGGUGAAAUCCCCGGGCUCAACCUGGGAACUGCCUUUGGGACUGCAUAGCUAGAGUACGGUAGAGGGGGAUGGAAUUCCGCGUGUAGCAGUGAGAUGCGUAGAUAUGCGGAGGAACACCGAUAGCGAAGGCAGUCCCCAGUACCUGUACUGACGCUCAUGCACGAAAGCGUGGGGAGCGAACAGG